Molecule: ribosomal RNA, 404 nt
Filed under: uncultured bacterium
Lineage: Bacteria
Description: bacterial SSU rRNA
Rfam family: Bacterial small subunit ribosomal RNA
Source: RNAcentral
UGAGGAAUAUUGCCCAAUGGACGCAAGUCUGAGGCAGCAACGCCGCGUGCGCGAUGAAGGCCUUCGGGUUGUAAAGCGCUUUUCUGGGGGAAGAGGAAGGACGGUACCUCAGGAAUAAGUCACGGCUAACUACGUGCCAGCAGCCGCGGUAAUACGUAGGUGGCCAGCGUUAUCCGGAUUUACUGGGCGUAAAGCGCGUGCAGGCGGUUUCGUAAGUCGGACGUGAAAGCUCCUGGCUUAACUGGGAGAGCGCAUUCGAUACUGCGAGGCUUGAGGUCGGGAGAGGGACGUGGAAUUCCCGGUGUAGUGGUGGAAUGCGUAGAUAUCGGGAGGAACACCAGUGGCGAAGGCGGCGUCCUGGCCCGCACCUGACGCUGAGACGCGAAAGCGCGGGUAGCGAACGG